CAUAGUUGAACGACCGGGUAUGAAUGGAAAUAUUGACCAUAACUGCAUAAAACUUGGUGUGUGCUCUAUUAUCACAUAUUGACCAUGAAUUUACACAUGCAAGAAACUAGCUGGCUGUGACAAGAGCUGAUCGCGUUAUAAGUGAUUGGAGGCCAUGGAAGGAAACAACAGAAAGAUACAGAUCUUUCCACAUCACAAAUAAAUUAAUCUGCUUAUGGGAAAUAAGUAGAUUUCGCAAGUUAAAAUGAAGAAAGCUGUUGCAUCCAGGCCUCUAGUGUGAAAGCAAGGUCUUAUAAACAAGCAAACUAGGUGGCAAUCCUUAGUUCAUGAACUUUUGCCGGUCCAAGAUGCAUUGGCAUUGAGACAGAGAUUGACAAGAAUGUCAUAAUGGUCAUGAAAUUGUGACUUACAAUAGGGUUAUCAGGAAGUCUAG
This 433-nucleotide unclassified non-coding RNA is filed under the name Hevea brasiliensis (rubber tree). The record is from RNAcentral. Lineage: Eukaryota; Viridiplantae; Streptophyta; Magnoliopsida; Malpighiales; Euphorbiaceae.